RNAcentral lists this ribosomal RNA (442 nucleotides) under uncultured bacterium. Its description in RNAcentral is "partial 16S ribosomal RNA". It matches the Rfam family "Bacterial small subunit ribosomal RNA", at positions 338 to 795 of the family's 1533-position model. The record is from RNAcentral.
CCUACGGGGAGCAGCAGUAGGGAAUCUUUCACAAUGGGCGAAAGCCUGAUGGAGCAACGCCGCGUGCAGGAUGAAGGCCUUCGGGUUGUAAACUGCUUUUAUAAGCGAGAAAUAUGAUGGUAACUUAUGAAUAAGGAUCGGCUAACUACGUGCCAGCAGCCGCGGUCAUACGUAGGAUCCGAGCAUUAUCCGGAGUGACUGGGUGUAAAGAGUUGCGUAGGUGGCAUAAUAAGUAGCUAGUGAAAUCUGGUGGCUCAACCAUUCAGACUAUUAGCUAAACUGGUAAGCUCGAGACCGUUAGGGGUAACUGGAAUUUCUAGUGUAGGAGUGAAAUCCGUAGAUAUUAGAAGGAACACCAAUAGCGUAGGCAGGUUGCUGGGACGGUUCUGACACUAAGGCACGAAAGCGUAGGGAGCAAACGGGAUUAGAUACCCCAGUAGUC